GCAUCUGUUCUCAGUGGUAGAGCAUUUGAACUGCAGAUCAAGAGGUCCUCAGUUCAAAUCUGAGUGCC
RNAcentral lists this transfer RNA (68 nucleotides) under Pleuronectes platessa (European plaice). Its description in RNAcentral is "tRNA-Cys". The record is from RNAcentral. Lineage: Eukaryota; Metazoa; Chordata; Actinopteri; Pleuronectiformes; Pleuronectidae.